Molecule: long non-coding RNA, 2132 nt
Filed under: Lactuca sativa (garden lettuce)
Lineage: Eukaryota; Viridiplantae; Streptophyta; Magnoliopsida; Asterales; Asteraceae
Description: long non-coding RNA (LSAT_LNC009528)
Source: RNAcentral
UAAACUUAUGAACUUUAUACCUCCAAAGAGUCCCAAAUGAUGAUGUUAUCCCAGAUCUAUGAGCUCAAACUUCCCAAGUCCUUCCUUGCCAACUUCUUUUUUCCUUUUCCAAGCUUAAAACCACCAAGAUGUGUUUUUUAAGAUCAAAAUUACACAAGAAUGAAGGGAUGAGGCGUUCAAGGGUUUAUCUAAGUUUGGGGAGGCUGAUAAGGGGCCAGGAUUUGAGCCGUUAUUCUCCUUAUAUAGUGGUUAGCCAACAAAAUUAGGGUAUACGGUCUCUGAGAGUACGUUGGGCGUACUCCUCCCACACCCGCGAUCAUUUACUCCAUUACAUUGGGCGUACUCCUAGCUUACGCUGGGCGUACCCAAUCGGACACGUGCAUGCUUCCCUUGCAUGCAUGGGACUUGCUUGCCAAACAUUUUCAUUAGGGGCUAUUUAUGGCAAUAACUUCGAAGGGCUAUAACUUCUUUGUUCUUAGUCUGUUUCCGACCAACUUUAUAUCCACAAAAAGGUGGCAAAAAGCCUUAUGUUCCUAGCUGUACCACCAAGCGUUAAGCUUCCGAAUAAAUCCAUAGACCCAUAAAAGACUGAGUCGCUUAUACCAUGGGCCUCGAGACCGCCACCAAAGUACUCUUCAAAACAGGGAGUUACAAAAAGAGAAAGGUAGAAAAAGUUAGGAGAACCUCAUGAACACUUCUACCAUUGUCACCUAACUCCUCAACCAUAAUCAUAUCUUCAAAAUACUAAUUGAACAAGUUACUUUUAUUGGUUUAUGGUCACGUGCCUUUUAUUAUAUGUUUCAAAAUAUGAUGAAUUGGCUUUGAAAAAACAAAGAUUAUGAGUGUACGUAGAAUUUGGUUAUGAUUACAAUUAUAUAUGUGUCUAUCGGUAAAUAAAGGUAUAUAAGAAAUAUAAUAUUUGAUCGGUAUAAUUAAAGUAUAGUAUUUGAAUGUGUGACUAUGAUUACAUAUUGGUCAUUCUUUUUGUAUGAGUAUAUGUCGACUAGUCAUCCAUUUUACUUAUACAGAGCCAUCGAGUCCUACCCAACGUUGAAUGGGCUUCAUAAGCCCACUGGAGGCCCCCUAAUGGCCCAAGUUGCUAAAUUGGGCCCAAUCCCCCUAACGGGAUUUACCCUCAGCCCAAGCAUCUUCUUGGUCCACAUUAUCUGACUCUGGGUGGCCCAGUAAGGCGCAAAAGACCAAAAUCCCUUGCAUGGCCCAAACUCGCAAGACCCGAAUAUGAUGAGUACACUGGGCGUACUCCUUUGUACGCUAAGCGUACUAGCCAAAUGGUGUGUACGCUAGGCGUACGUACAUGUACGCUCAUCGUACUCCCCUGUUAAGUCAUUUUCCCAUUAAUUGCUUAAUACUUAGAUGCAAAAGGUACAAUCACAUAUCCAAGUCCUUUUCAAUGUCUUAAUCCCUAAAGUCACUGACUUGGUAACUUUGCUUGCCCCAAAGAAGUCCAAACUCCAAAAAUGAUAUUCUACUUCCAUGAAAGUGGUCUCAACUCUUGUAUGAACCCAUUAAGACCACCAAGAUGACAACUUUCUUACCUAGGGUGGCAGCCCUCAACCUAGAAAUUAGAUUUGGCUUAUAAAGCUUCAUCCAUUGGACCAAAAUGACUUCAAAGCCAAACUACACUAGAUCUAAGCACUCUUAUGUAAACUUAUGAACUUUAUACCUCCAAAGAGUCCCAAAUGAUGAUGUUAUCCCAGAUCUAUGAGCUCAAACUUCCCAAGUCCUUCCUUGCAGACUUCUUUUUUCCUCUUCCAAGCUUAAAACCACCAAGAUGUGUUUUUUAAGAUCAAAAUUACACAAGAAUGAAGGGAUGAGGCGUUCAAGGGUUUAUCUAAGUUUGGGGAGGCUGAUAAGGGGACAGGGUUUGAGCCGUUAUUCUCCUUAUAUAGUGGUUAGCCAACAAAAUUAGGGUAUACGGUCUCUGAGAGUACGUUGGGCGUACUCCUCCCACACCCGCGAUCAUUUACUCCAUUACAUUGGGCGUACUCCUAGCUUACGCUGGGCGUACCCAAUCGGACACGUGCAUGCUUCCCUUGCAUGCAUGGGACUUGCUUGCCAAACAUUUCCAUUAGGGGCUAUUUAUGCCAAUAACUUCGAAGGGCUAUAACUUC